Rosa chinensis is the source of this 3129-nucleotide long non-coding RNA. RefSeq lists it as uncharacterized. NCBI's taxonomy places the organism in Eukaryota, Viridiplantae, Streptophyta, Magnoliopsida, Rosales, Rosaceae. The transcript has 3 exons. The record is from RefSeq and is a predicted model, not a curated record.
GAGACAGGUGGCUCGCAUGCAAAAUAGAAAGGAAGGAGACGACAUCCGGCUUCUGCGGAUGGUUUUGGCACGGUAUUUCCCAUGGUUUUGAUAUGAUGGGAGACGGAGAUAUCAACGAGAGCUUUGAUCUGGAUUCUGCCGACAUAGAGAAAAAGUUCAGCCAGACAGAGAGUGAGGUUGAGAAGAAAAAGUUCAGAAGAAUCCAAAACCGCAAGCGCCAAACAGCAAUCGGCAAGCUUUUCAGAUCAAAAACAAAGAAUCCAAAACAAACCCAGACCAAUGCGUGCGUAAUUGAGCUCAUUUGGUCAAAUCGGAAUAUCUGAUUGAGCAUCCAUUUGAUCAAUCGGAGGAUCCAAUUCAGCAAUCAGAUAUCUUUGAUAUAUUGAGGUUCAACCGUUCAGGUAAGCUUCUUAUUUGGUCGAUUGGUCUGACAGUUUGGUUUUGAAUUUUGGGUGCGAUUGAUUGGAUUUUGUAUUUCGGUGCAUGCAAUUUUGGGUAGUGCGUGUGACUGCGGUUUUGUGGGUGACAGAGAUUUUGUCUGUGUUCUCUCACUUGAAAUCAAACUCAUAUUGCAAGUGUGCUGGGUUUUCCUUCACGUCUGCUUAUUAUUAUACAGUUGAAAAGUACAAAAGGAUUACCUAAAUGGAAGGAAGAAGAUACAAAGAACAAAAAGGAAGAGGAUUUGUAAUAGGUUUCGUUUAUGUAAUUUGAUGAGUUUAAUGGAUAGUUUUUUAUUUAUUUAUUUAUUUUGGAUGCAUGCGAUGUUGUAAUAUUUGUUCUUAGUUUUUGGUGGACAAAGAAAAUGAUUGAUCAUGGGGAAUGGUAUGAUCGCUUUCAAGGUGAAGGGUUUGCUCUGACUUGAUCUGGGUUUUCCCCUUUUUCUUAUUUUGACUCAGUUUGUGGUUCUAAUUUGAAUAGUUCACUCUUCACAAUAUAAUACUAGACUCUGUUAAAGAGAGGCAGAGAGAGGGAGAUAGAGUUGCAGCAUGCCUGUAGAUAAGAGAAGAGAGAGGGAGAUACAGUCUUCGUAUUUUGAAAUCAAGCAGAGGAAGAUAAUUAUAUUCUGAAAUAGUGGGAAUUGCAGAAAGGUCAGAGAAGAAACUGAAGAAGGUGAAACUAGACGAUAGAAGUUCCAAGGACCGUAGUCUAGAUGAAUCAGAGGGAAGGAUUCAGUAGACAGCUAUUCAUUUGGGGCUUGAAAAUCAGGGAGAUGAGAAGAAUGACAUGAAGAAUUUCACUACAUUGAUUGUGGAUAUGAUGAAAAAAGAGAAACCAUUUGCUUCUCAAGGAGGUCCUAUCAUUAUUGUUCAAACCUUACAAGACCUUUAGCUAACCAAAAUGGAUUACAAAGGCUAAAGUAGGAACACACUAUAAAUUAUUGCAAUGCAUUUGAAUUGAAUUAUAAAUAUAGGGUAUUAUAGAAAAUCCAUAAUUUGGCAAUGCUUUUUGUUACACAUUCCCCUGAAAUAUGUUACAGUUUAUCAUUGCCUCAUGUUCUUAAAUAAAUGAUAUUUAGCUCUCUCCUGUUUCAUUACAACAACAUCUAUUUGAUAAAUUCUUUGAUAAGUUUUACCAGAGUAAUAUUGGCCGACUUUUGCCUUACUAAUUUGCAAUGAUAUCUUCAGUUAUAUGCAAGAUUAUCUCCCCUGUCAGUGCUUCUACUCCUGCUGGAUUGUAAAUGAAAGAUCAGUUUGUUUUUUCACUUCCAUUUGCAAUAAAAUCCAAUUUCAUUUACAGGAUUUGUUACAAUAUAAAAUAAUCAUAAUAAAUCAAACAAAGAUUAAUUGCACACCCGAGCACCACACUCAUGCGCGUGCAGGAAGGCUAGUUACAUAUUAAACCAACCAAGACCAAAGCGCCCGUGCAGGAAGGCUAGUUACAUAUUAAACCAACCAAAACCAAAGUUUCCAUCUGAAGCAUACCUUAUAGAAAAACAAGUUUCAUUGGGAACAGAACUUGCAUGGAAGAUGACAUGCAUAUAUUGGUUUAAAAGCAGAGUAAAACUGUUUCUGCAUAAAUAGAUACAUCAACUUUAGUUCUUCACAACUUCACAUACAUUGUGAUUCUCUUACGGAUUAAAUAUGUAGAGAUUAUUCUUACAUUUUUGUAUGUAUAUUGUCUUAAUUCGUGUUCUUGUAUCAGUUCAUGAACAUCUCACCUAGUAGCUAGAGAGAAACUAUAACAACAAUUCGUGAGGUAUCCAAAGUUGUAAAGUUAUAGAUGACAGGCAGAGAUUUGAAUCAGUAAAGGAACUGAUGCGAUUUGAAUGAGAACUGAAAAGAUGACAACGGGAACGGAAUCUGGAUCAUUUCAAGGAACAAAGGUGCAAGAGUAAUCUGGGUAUCCACUGCUGAAAAGUCAUCUUAAGAACGAAACUGCCCUGGCUUCCCAACGCAGGUUUGGUAACCUUCAGAAUCUGGUUCAUCUUUAUUGUAUGUUUCUUUAUUACUGCAACUUCUUUGCAUUUUUUUUUUUUGGUCUGCAAUUUCUUUGUAUGAGAAAUAGGUCAAAGAGAGGCUCUCUAAAAGUCUAAAUGGGAGGAACAGAUUGAUAUAUCAAUCGUGGAUACGACUAUGGCUCUAGCCUACUUAAUGAAAUUACUCACUGGAUAAUAUACAUUGGUCACCUUGCUACUGCCUAGCUAUUAGAUGAAACCUACCUAUAAAGUUGAACUGUCUGAAAAAAGAAACGUGUUACUGUAGGAAGAAAUUAUCUUGGUUAAACUCAAGUGAAAGGCAUGUCUUAUGUACAAGGAUAUGCAUCUGAACGAGAUGAUCUGCAUACUGCUUAGACAAUCCUGAUGCUCUUUUCCUAGUUCUCCCCCGGAAUUGGGAUAUCAACUACAUGGGCAAGCUCACAGAUCUACUACAUCUUAUUAGAUUAGUAGAUAACCAGAUAUUGUAUUUUGGCUCUUGAUUUCAACAAUGAUUUUCAUGGGAUGGAAAUGAAUCAAAGAAUAUUUUAUAAAUCUUGACAUGGUUGCAGAAAAUAACAAUUUCAGAUUUGUCAUUACACAUCUGUAGCCCUCAAGUAGAUCUACAUUGCCAAACCCUUCAUUAACAUGAUCUGAAGUCCAGUGAUAGCAGAAGUAUUGCAAAAAAGCAGAAUGCGUAAUAUGAAAAAAAUCUA